AACGGAUUUGCGGAUUUGCAUGGGUAGAGAAUAGGAGCCUGUGUAUAAAUGGAACACCGUGGAUUUGGCAUCUUCUAGAAGAAUGUGUUGAGAAUGCGUGGGAGUACUGCAGCGUUGUCAUAGGACUGAUUUCCAUUGUCUGUUUUCUGUUUGCUGCACUACCGUAAGUUUAAAGUCUUUGGCAGUCCUCAGAUUGAAACAUGAGUAAUCUUGCCCGAAGCCUUUCUCACAAGCUGC
This 237-nucleotide long non-coding RNA is filed under the name Gallus gallus (chicken). RNAcentral describes it as "long non-coding RNA NONGGAT009426". The record is from RNAcentral. Lineage: Eukaryota; Metazoa; Chordata; Aves; Galliformes; Phasianidae.